UUUGGCGCUUGGACUGCCUCUGGUCCCA
Molecule: unclassified non-coding RNA, 28 nt
Filed under: Mus musculus (house mouse)
Lineage: Eukaryota; Metazoa; Chordata; Mammalia; Rodentia; Muridae
Description: oocyte_clustered_small_RNA3910
Source: RNAcentral